ACGACCAUAGACUCAAGAGAACUGGGCAUCCCGUCCGCUCUGCCAUACAUAACCUUGAGAUCGGUGGAUUAGUAGUUGGGUGGGUGACCACCAGCGAAUACCCACUGUUGUAUGUU
This 116-nucleotide ribosomal RNA is filed under the name Pseudogymnoascus destructans 20631-21. The record is from RNAcentral. Lineage: Eukaryota; Fungi; Ascomycota; Leotiomycetes; Thelebolales; Thelebolaceae.